CCUACGGGUGGCUGCAGUGGGGAAUAUUGGGCAAUGGGCGCAAGCCUGACCCAGCAAUUCCGCGUGAAGGAAGACGGCCCUCGGGUUGUAAACUUCUUUUGUCAGGGACGAAGAAAGUCACGGUACCUGAUGACUAAGCUACGGCUAACUACGUGCCAGCCGCCGCGGUAAUACGUAGGGGGCACGCGUUAUCCGGAUUUACUGGGUGUAAAGGGCGUGAAGGCGGGACUGCAAGUCAGAUGUGAAAUUCCAGGGCUCAACCCUGGAACCGCAGUUGAGACUGCAGUUCUUGAGUGAUGGAGAGGGAGGCGGAAUUCCGUGGGUAGCAGUGAAAGGCGUAGAUAUGCGGAAGAACACCAGUGGCGAGGGCAGCCUGCUGGACAUUAACUGACGCUGAGGCGCGAAAGCGUGGGGAGCAAACAGGAUUAGAUACCCGAGUAGUC
This 443-nucleotide ribosomal RNA is filed under the name uncultured bacterium. Its description in RNAcentral is "partial 16S ribosomal RNA". It matches the Rfam family "Bacterial small subunit ribosomal RNA", at positions 338 to 795 of the family's 1533-position model. The record is from RNAcentral.